UCCUAACAAUCAAGUGAUAACAAGACAGUGUUCUGUUUUGUUUCAGCACCAUCUGAUUUCUGACCCACCUUGAGAGUUAGACCCCUGCUUAUCUCAAAGCAAGCUGCCGGCUGGUUCUUCUUCAUUGUCAAUGUCACUGGAUCUGAAGUCG
This 151-nucleotide long non-coding RNA is filed under the name Mus spicilegus (steppe mouse). RNAcentral describes it as "lncRNA (ENSMSIG00000008630.1)". The record is from RNAcentral. Lineage: Eukaryota; Metazoa; Chordata; Mammalia; Rodentia; Muridae.